CAUCUAUCCAACUAUCUCCUGAUGACUUCACUGGGGGAUAGAAAGCCACAGGUGGACGGUCUCCGGGUGGAUGCAGCAGGAGGGAGCAGAUGGAGGGAAAGGAGCCGCCCCAGCACCUCGCAGGAGCUCAGCCCUUCCCCAGGCCAACAGGCCGGAAAGCCCAUUGGAUCAUUGAAUGUCAGAGUAGAAGAGACCACAGACAUCGAAUGAUCAGUUGAAAUAACAGUUUUUCAGCUGAAAAAAAGAGGAAUUCCAGAGUCUUUCAGUGAAGCUCACGGGUCUCACUGGUCCCUUGGCGGCGCCCUUCCCAGAGUUCUUUCAAGGUCUGUGACCCUCUCGAAGCCAGGUUCCGGGAGGGGUUUUUACCUUUGCCCGGUCCCUGGCAGUGCUGGGAACUGCCGUCCGAUUCAUUUCAUCUCUCGAUUUGGCGGAGUAUUCGGAAGGGGCGAGAGAUGAGGCGUGAAGGGAGGGACGCGCGCGGCCACGCUCCCCGCAGGACGCGGCUCCGGACCCGGCGUCGGGGCUCCGCGGGACCCAGGUGUUCCCGAGGGGAAGAAACUGGCAGAAAGUGGACGCCUCCGCCCGCUGCCCCCCCCCCCCCCCCACACACACACAGGUAACGGCACCACAGCUGCCUUCCGCACACGCGGCUCCCGGCGCCAACGCCAACGCCAACGCCUCCGCGCCCUCCGGGACCCUCCGACCCCGGCUCAAGCUCCUCCCCGCCCGCGGGCCCCGGCGGGAGCGGCGGCGGCGGCGGCGGCGGGGAGCGGGGAGCGGGGAGCGGGCCGCGCUCGCUGCCAUUGGCUGUGCGGCCCGAGGGGCGGGGGGCCCCGCAGUCCCGCCGGCUCCGCGGCCCCGGCUCCCGCCCGCCCUCCCGCAGCCGGUGCGCUCGAGCCCUGCGCUCCCCGGACGGCCGCGCGGGGGCGGGGCGCCGAGGCGGGGGCGGGGGCGGGGGCGGGGCGCGGCGGGGCGCGGGCGGGGCGCGGGCGGGGAGCUCAGCGCAGCUCCAGUCCGGGCCGGGCCGGCGCGCCGCGGGAGGGGAGGUCGCCGCGCGCGGGCUCGCAGGGUCGUCUGUCCCCUCCGGGCACUCCCCGCGUGCACUGCCGGCCUUGCACCUUCGCGCGCCCGCAGAGCCUUUGCACCCGUCUUAGGUGCUUCAAAUCCGGGCAGAAUGCUCUGAAGAGAUUGACACAUGUUCAUGGUUCUCAUUAAAGAAGCUUCAUGUAAGCUGAGACAGGAAAUGAGACAAGGAAGGAUGAAUGUCCAGCUUUCUUCAACCACCAAGAAUAAAAGGAAAAAGCAAAAUGUCAACAGGAGUGCAAGCAGAUCUUGAAAGAAAAGGGGAGAAGAGGAAAGAGCCAGAAAAGUACCACCCUUACUAGAUCUGAAGAUUUAGCAUCAUUUCACAAUUUCCUGAUUCCAAUUCCAAUUGGUCUUAAUAUUCUCUGGGGUCCUUCUCAGUACUAGCCUUGAACAUCAAAGAACUGAUUACAGUACUAAACGUCUUUUCCUCCACCAAAUGUGUGCCAUUUGAACCUAAAGGUGAUGUACCACUAUACACCAGGUCAAAGUAAUAUUUCACAUAAUUAGGAUUUUAUUUUUCUGACUACAUACUUUUCGGGUAACAGAUAUAGUUACAUCCCAAGGCUUACUAAAAUGUCUAAAUAUUUCUAUUGCAUUGAAAAAAAUAGAAGUUUCAUUUUUAUUUU
This 1712-nucleotide long non-coding RNA is filed under the name Canis lupus familiaris (dog). RNAcentral describes it as "lncRNA (ENSCAFG00000055515.1)". Lineage: Eukaryota; Metazoa; Chordata; Mammalia; Carnivora; Canidae. The record is from RNAcentral.